Molecule: non-coding RNA, 72 nt
Organism: Frankia sp.
Lineage: Bacteria; Bacillati; Actinomycetota; Actinomycetes; Frankiales; Frankiaceae
Source: Rfam
GAGAGCCGGAUGAUCAGGAAACUAUCAAGUCCGGUUCGGCGGGAGGCUGCGCGGAAAAGGACCAACCCACAG